This 399-nucleotide ribosomal RNA is filed under the name uncultured bacterium. RNAcentral's name for it is "bacterial SSU rRNA". It matches the Rfam family "Bacterial small subunit ribosomal RNA", at positions 358 to 774 of the family's 1533-position model. The record is from RNAcentral.
GGAAUAUUGCACAAUGGGGGAAACCCUGAUGCAGCGACGCCGCGUGAGUGAAGAAGUAUUUCGGUAUGUAAAGCUCUAUCAGCAGGGAAGAAAACGACGGUACCUGACUAAGAAGCCCCGGCUAAAUACGUGCCAGCAGCCGCGGUAAUACGUAUGGGGCAAGCGUUAUCCGGAUUUACUGGGUGUAAAGGGAGCGCAGGCGGCAAGGCAAGUCAGAAGUGAAAACCCGGGGCUCAACCCCGUGAUUGCUUUUGAGACUGUUUAGCUGGAGUGCAGGAGGGGCAAGCGGAAUUCCUAGUGUAGCGGUGAAAUGCGUAGAUAUUAGGAAGAACACCGGUGGCGAAGGCGGCUUGCUGGGCUGUAACUGACGCUGAGGCUCGAAGGCGUGGGGAGCAAACA